AGAGUUUGAUCCUGGCUCAGAGUUAACGCUGGCGGCGUGCUUAACACAUGCAAGUCGAACGUGAUUCAGAGCUUGCUCUGAUGAAAGUGGCGCACGGGUGAGUAACGCGUGGAUAACCUGCCCUGGUAUCUGGGGUAACAUCUCGAAAGGGGUGCUAAUACCGGAUAAGCCUCCGGGAUCUUCGGAUUCUGCAGGAAAAGAAGGCCUCUAUUUAUAAGCUUUCGUAUCAGGAUGGGUCCGCGUACCAUUAGCUAGUUGGUGGGGUAAUGGCCUACCAAGGCGACGAUGGUUAGCUGGUCUGAGAGGAUGAUCAGCCACACUGGAACUGAGACACGGUCCAGACUCCUACGGGAGGCAGCAGUGGGGAAUUUUGCGCAAUGGGGGAAACCCUGACGCAGCAACGCCGCGUGAGUGAUGAAGGCUUUCGGGUCGUAAAGCUCUGUCAGAGGGGAAGAAAUGAGACUGGCUAAUAUCCAGUUUUCUUGACGGUACCCUCAAAGGAAGCACCGGCUAACUCCGUGCCAGCAGCCGCGGUAA
This 537-nucleotide ribosomal RNA is filed under the name uncultured bacterium. RNAcentral's name for it is "bacterial SSU rRNA". It matches the Rfam family "Bacterial small subunit ribosomal RNA", at positions 8 to 523 of the family's 1533-position model. The record is from RNAcentral.